This is a small nucleolar RNA of Zingiber officinale, 101 nucleotides long. RefSeq annotates it as small nucleolar RNA Z107/R87. The transcript has a single exon. The record is from RefSeq and is a predicted model, not a curated record. Lineage: Eukaryota; Viridiplantae; Streptophyta; Magnoliopsida; Zingiberales; Zingiberaceae.
GAUUGCCGUGACGACUCUGGAAAAUUCAAGCUCAACAGACCGGAUAGCAGGUCUCUCAUCGAGGGAUCUGUAUGUCGAUUAUCCCGCUGAACUGAGCAAUC